AGCCAUGCGAGUCGAGAGGUGUAAGACCUCGGCAUACUGCUCAGUAACACGUGGUUAACCUGCCCUAAGGUGGAGAAUACUCCCGGGAAACUGGGGUUAAUGCUCCAUAGUGGAUAUGUCCUGGAAUGGUAUAUCCUCGAAAGAUCCGUCGCCUUAGGAUGGGACUGCGUCCGAUUAGGUUGUUGGCGGGGUAACGGCCCACCAAGCCAUUGAUCGGUACGGGUUGUGGGAGCAAGAUCCCGGAGAUGGAUUCUGAGACAUGAAUCCAGGCCCUACGGGGCGCAGCAGGCGCGCAAACUUUACAAUGCGAGCAAUCGUGAUAAGGAAACCCUGAGUGCCUGUCGAUGCAGGCUGUUCAUAUAUCUAAAUCAUAUGUGAAGAAAGGGCAGGGCAAGACCGGUGCCAGCCGCCGCGGUAAUACCGGCUGCUCGAGUGAUGGCCACUAUUACUGGGUUUAAAGCGUCCGUAGCUUGACUGUUAGGUCCCUUGGGAAAUCUUCGCGCUUAACGUGAAGGCGUCUAAGAGAUACCGGCAGUCUUGGAACUGGGAGAGGUAAACCGUACUUCGGGGGUAGGAGUGAAAUCUUGUAAUCCUCGAGGGACGACCUAUGGCGAAGGCAGUUUACCAGAACAGCUUCGACAGUGAGGGACGAAAGCUGGGGGAGCAAACGGGAUUAGAUACCCCGGUAGUCCCAGCCGUAAACAAUGUGCGUUAGGUGUGUCGGUAACCACGCGUUACUGAUGCGCCGAAGAGAAAUCGUGAAACGCACCACCUGGGAAGUACGGUCG
This 788-nucleotide ribosomal RNA is filed under the name uncultured bacterium. RNAcentral describes it as "bacterial SSU rRNA". It matches the Rfam family "Archaeal small subunit ribosomal RNA", at positions 47 to 843 of the family's 1478-position model. The record is from RNAcentral.